GUCGAGAAUCUUUCACAAUGGGGGCAACCCUGAUGGAGCGACGCCGCGUGGAGGAUAAGGUCUUCGGAUUGUAAACUCCUGUCAUGCGUGAACAAGGUUGCUUGGUUAAUACCUGGGCAAAUUGAUGGUAACGCAAGAGGAAGAGACGGCUAACUCUGUGCCAGCAGCCGCGGUAAUACAGAGGUCUCAAGCGUUGUUCGGAAUCACUGGGCGUAAAGGGUGCGUAGGUGGCGUGGUAAGUCAGAUGUGAAAGCCCGGGGCUCAACCUCGGAACUGCAUCCGAUACUGCCAUGCUAGAGUACUGGAGAGGUGACUAGAAUUCUCGGUGUAGCAGUGAAAUGCGUAGAUAUCGAGAGGAAUACCAAAGGCGUAGGCAGGUCACUGGACAGUUACUGACACUGAGGCACGAAGGCCAGGGGAGUGAACGGGAUUAGAAACCCCAGUAGUCC
This 449-nucleotide ribosomal RNA is filed under the name uncultured bacterium. Its description in RNAcentral is "partial 16S ribosomal RNA". It matches the Rfam family "Bacterial small subunit ribosomal RNA", at positions 354 to 796 of the family's 1533-position model. The record is from RNAcentral.